CAUUAAGGGGCUUACAGAAAUAAAAGCAGGAACAAAGUCAUCUGAUGUUGAAUGUGGGAAAUCCACUACUCCAGUUGCUGUUAUAGUUGGAGUCACACUUGGUGUUCUUUCUACUUCGAUGGCUGCUUUUACGGCUUUAUUAAUAUACAACUUCAAGUUUAGACGUAAACCAUGUGACAGAAAUGUCCGUUAUUUCUCACAACCAGUGAGUGACUUAGAACCAAGAACACCAGACUGUGUGGCAAAUUUGAUGUACUCGGAUCAUCAUUUCUCCAA
This is a non-coding RNA of Misgurnus anguillicaudatus (oriental weatherfish), 276 nucleotides long. The record is from RefSeq and is a predicted model, not a curated record. NCBI's taxonomy places the organism in Eukaryota, Metazoa, Chordata, Actinopteri, Cypriniformes, Cobitidae.